CAUAUAUUAAAUAACUGUU
This 19-nucleotide ribosomal RNA is filed under the name Llanolebias stellifer. RNAcentral's name for it is "partial 16S ribosomal RNA". The record is from RNAcentral. Lineage: Eukaryota; Metazoa; Chordata; Actinopteri; Cyprinodontiformes; Rivulidae.